AUACGGAGGAUCCGAGCGUUAUCCGGAUUUAUUAGGUUUAAAGGGUGCGCAGGCGGAACUGUAAGUCACCGGUGAAAUCCUACAGCUUAACUGUAGAACUGCCGGUGAUACUGCGAUUCUUGAGUAUAGUUGAGGUAGGCGGAAUGUGUAAUGUAGCGGUGAAAUGCAUAGAUAUUACACAGAACACCGAUUGCGAAGGCAGCUUACUAAACUAUUACUGACGCUCAUGCACGAAAGCGUGGGGAGCGAACAGGAUUAGAUACCCCAGUAGUCC
RNAcentral lists this ribosomal RNA (274 nucleotides) under uncultured bacterium. RNAcentral's name for it is "partial 16S ribosomal RNA". It matches the Rfam family "Bacterial small subunit ribosomal RNA", at positions 523 to 796 of the family's 1533-position model. The record is from RNAcentral.